Molecule: ribosomal RNA, 486 nt
Filed under: uncultured bacterium
Lineage: Bacteria
Description: partial 16S ribosomal RNA
Rfam family: Bacterial small subunit ribosomal RNA
Source: RNAcentral
AUUGAACGCUGGCGGCAUGCCUUACACAUGCAAGUCGAACGGCAGCACGGGUGCUUGCCCCUGGUGGCGAGUGGCGAACGGGUGAGUAAUACAUCGGAACAUGUCCUGUAGUGGGGGAUAGCCCGGCGAAAGCCGGAUUAAUACCGCAUACGAUCUACGGCUGAAAGCGGGGGACCUUCGGGCUUCGCGCUAUAGGGUUGGCCGGUAGCUGAUUAGCUAGUUGGUGGGGUAAAGGCCUACCAAGGCGACGGUCAGUAGCUGGUCUGAGAGGACGACCAGCCACACUGGGACUGAGACACGGCCCAGACUCCUACGGGAGGCAGCAGUGGGGAAUUUUGGACAAUGGGCGAAAGCCUGAUCCAGCAAUGCCGCGUGUGUGAAGAAGGCCUUCGGGUUGUAAAGCACUUUUGUCCGGAAAGAAAUCCUUGGCUCUAAUACAGUCGGGGGAUGACGGUACCGGAAGAAUAAGCACCGGCUAACUACGUG